This 253-nucleotide ribosomal RNA is filed under the name uncultured bacterium. Its description in RNAcentral is "partial 16S ribosomal RNA". It matches the Rfam family "Bacterial small subunit ribosomal RNA", at positions 524 to 776 of the family's 1533-position model. The record is from RNAcentral.
UACGUAGGGUGCGAGCGUUAAUCGGAAUUACUGGGCGUAAAGCGUGCGUAGGCGGUUCGUUGUGUCUGUGGUGAAAGCCCCGGGCUUAACCUGGGAACUGCGAUGGAAACUAGCGAGCUGGAGUGUGGCAGAGGGGGGUGGAAUUCCGCGUGUAGCAGUGAAAUGCGUAGAGAUGCGGAGGAACACCGAUGGCGAAGGCAGCCCCCUGGGCUAACACUGACGCUCAGGCACGAAAGCGUGGGGAGCAAACAGG